UAAAUCUUCAAUUAUGGACGGAGUUUUACUUGCAGAGCGUCAACUACCACUACCAGAAGAAAAGGUUUCGGAGGUUCAAUGCAAAACAAACAUUACUCCGCAAUGUCAGUGCAUUUGCAGAAGACUUUUUUCAGAACUUGCAUCACGAGUCUGAUGAACAUGAUUCUUCUUCAAGCCAAGGUAGUUCGUGGUUUCAACGGGAUUUUAGGUCUUAUGCACCCAAUUCAAGCAGAUUAAGGAAUAAAGGACACCGAAAA
This is a long non-coding RNA of Ipomoea triloba (trilobed morning glory), 257 nucleotides long. RefSeq lists it as uncharacterized. The record is from RefSeq and is a predicted model, not a curated record. Lineage: Eukaryota; Viridiplantae; Streptophyta; Magnoliopsida; Solanales; Convolvulaceae. The transcript is spliced from 2 exons.